RNAcentral lists this long non-coding RNA (793 nucleotides) under Heterocephalus glaber (naked mole-rat). Its description in RNAcentral is "lncRNA (ENSHGLG00000038887.1)". The record is from RNAcentral. Lineage: Eukaryota; Metazoa; Chordata; Mammalia; Rodentia; Bathyergidae.
GGGGCCGCCUCGGUGCGCCUGCGCAGCGUGCUCUGUAAAAAUGUGUAAUUACUGACAGUAUUUCAACCUACCUGUGUGAGUGUGGGCGCGUGAAGACGGACCUUCACCGUCAUUUUGCAGACAUGUAUAGGAAUACGUAUCCCAAUUAUGCAUUCUGGAACUGGGGAAAUGACCACAGAAUGGAUUUGGGGAUCCCCUGGACGUGCCAUGAGUUGGACCUGGCUAAAACUCCACUGAUCACUUGACCUGACAGGCGCCUACUCUCACGAGAGGGCCCCAUUACAUUUUGGAUCUCCUGGGAUCAAUGUUAGUUGAGAAUCCGUGUCCAGUAGUCCUCAAAAUGUCUAUUUUCUUUUCCUCAUUGUAUGGAUGCUCUGUGAGGAAGGAUGGAAGAUUAACAAUAUAACUUUUUGGUAGUGCACCAAGGACUUUCCUCAAGAGGACCUGGCCUCCCCUUCAUUCAAGGGGUUCAGGGUCUCUAAAAAGAAGUCUGAGAAUUAAAUUACUUGAGGGGUUUGUGCUGACCUCAGGCUGGGUUGAGGCCUUCCCAACCCAGAGAGAAAAAGCACAAAAGGUAACCAAGGUGCUGCUGAAAGACAUCAUCCGAAGACCCAGACUGCCUUUAACCCUGGGGUCAAACAAUGGACCGGCAUUUGUAGCUGAGUUGCAGGAACUGUCUUAAAUUUACCACAGUCAGCUAAAACCAACAGCCCAGGACAAGUGGACCAACUAGCAGGAUCCAGACCACCCAAACCAGCUGAUCUUGUGACAAUAUCGGGCCACCACUGAAAAC